This 253-nucleotide ribosomal RNA is filed under the name uncultured bacterium. RNAcentral's name for it is "partial 16S ribosomal RNA". It matches the Rfam family "Bacterial small subunit ribosomal RNA", at positions 524 to 776 of the family's 1533-position model. The record is from RNAcentral.
UACGUAGGGGGCAAGCGUUGUCCGGAAUUAUUGGGCGUAAAGAGCGUGUAGGCGGUCCGGUAAGUCGGCUGUGAAAGUCCAGGGCUCAACCCUGGAAAGCGGGUGGAUACUGCCGGGCUAGAAUCCGGAAGAGGCGAGUGGAAUUCCUGGUGUAGCGGUGAAAUGCGCAGAUAUCAGGAGGAACACCUAUUGCGAAGGCAGCUCGCUGGGACGUAACUGACGCUGAGACGCGAAAGCGUGGGGAGCAAACAGG